RNAcentral lists this transfer RNA (74 nucleotides) under Methanobacteriota archaeon. RNAcentral describes it as "Euryarchaeota archaeon tRNA-Pro". It matches the Rfam family "tRNA". Rfam says of the family: Transfer RNA (tRNA) molecules are approximately 80 nucleotides in length. Their secondary structure includes four short double-helical elements and three loops (D, anti-codon, and T loops). The record is from RNAcentral. Lineage: Archaea; Methanobacteriati; Methanobacteriota.
GAGCCGGUAGUGUAGCUUGGCAACAUGAUUGGUUUGGGUCCAAUUGAUCGCGGGUUCGAAUCCUGCCCGGCUCA